RNAcentral lists this ribosomal RNA (500 nucleotides) under uncultured bacterium. RNAcentral's name for it is "partial 16S ribosomal RNA". It matches the Rfam family "Bacterial small subunit ribosomal RNA", at positions 30 to 523 of the family's 1533-position model. The record is from RNAcentral.
AUUGAACGCUGGCGGAAUGCUUUACACAUGCAAGUCGAACGGCAGCACGGACUUCGGUCUGGUGGCGAGUGGCGAACGGGUGAGUAAUGUAUCGGAACGUGCCCAGUCGGGGGGGAUAACGUAGUGAAAAUUACGCUAAUACCGCAUCCGAUCUAUGGAUGAAAGCGGGGGAUCGCAAGCCCUCGCGCGAUUGGAGCGGCCGAUAUCAGAUUAGGUAGUUGGUGGGGUAAAGGCCCACCAAGCCAACGAUCUGUGGCUGGUCUGAGAGGACGACCAGCCACACGGGAACUGAGACACGGUCCAGACUCCUACGGGAGGCAGCAGUGGGGAAUUUUGGACAAUGGGCGAAAGCCUGAUCCAGCCAUUCCGCGUGCAGGAUGAAGGCCCUCGGGUUGUAAACUGCUUUUGUACAGAACGAAAAGGUUUCUACUAAUACUAGGAGCUCAUGACGGUACUGUAAGAAUAAGCACCGGCUAACUACGUGCCAGCAGCCGCCGUAA